RNAcentral lists this ribosomal RNA (428 nucleotides) under uncultured prokaryote. RNAcentral describes it as "bacterial SSU rRNA". It matches the Rfam family "Bacterial small subunit ribosomal RNA", at positions 355 to 774 of the family's 1533-position model. The record is from RNAcentral.
UAGGGAAUAUUGCGCAAUGGGCGAAAGCCUGACGCAGCAAUACCGCGUGAGUGAGGAAGGUCUUCGGAUUGUAAAGCUCUGUCGGGAUGGAAAAAUGGUGUGAGGUCUAAUAGGCCUUACAAUUGAUGGUACAUCCAAAGGAAGCACCGGCUAACUUCGUGCCAGCAGCCGCGGUAAUACGAAGGGUGCAAGCGUUGUUCGGAUUUAUUGGGCGUAAAGCGCGCGCAGGCGGGUGAUUAAGUCAGGUGUGAAAUCUCAGGGCUCAACCCUGAAACUGCGCCUGAAACUGAUCAUCUAGAAUAUCGGAGAGGGAAGGGGAAUUUCGCAUGUAGGGGUAAAAUCCGUAGAUAUGCGAAGGAAUACCAGAGGCGAAGGCGCCUUCCUGGACGAUUAUUGACGCUGAGGCACGAAAGCGUGGGGAGCAAACA